UACAGAGGGUGCGAGCGUUGUCCGGAAUCACUGGGCGUAAAGGGCGCGUAGGCGGCCUGAUAAGUAGGGGGGUGAAAUCCUGUGGCUUAACUGCAGGGCUGCCUCCUAGACUGUUAGGCUCGAGCACGGUAGAGGCAGAUGGAAUUCCCGGUGUAGCGGUGGAAUGCGUAGAGAUCGGGAAGAACAUCGGUGGCGAAGGCGGUCUGCUGGGCCGUUGCUGACGCUGAGGCGCGACAGCGUGGGGGAGCAAACAGG
RNAcentral lists this ribosomal RNA (255 nucleotides) under uncultured bacterium. Its description in RNAcentral is "partial 16S ribosomal RNA". It matches the Rfam family "Bacterial small subunit ribosomal RNA", at positions 524 to 776 of the family's 1533-position model. The record is from RNAcentral.